This 723-nucleotide ribosomal RNA is filed under the name Vibrio sp. 12E12. RNAcentral describes it as "bacterial SSU rRNA". It matches the Rfam family "Bacterial small subunit ribosomal RNA", at positions 33 to 735 of the family's 1533-position model. Lineage: Bacteria; Pseudomonadati; Pseudomonadota; Gammaproteobacteria; Vibrionales; Vibrionaceae. The record is from RNAcentral.
ACGCUGGCGGCAGGCCUAACACAUGCAAGUCGAGCGGAAACGACACUAACGAUCCUUCGGGUGCGUUAAUGGGCGUCGAGCGGCGGACGGGUGAGUAAUGCCUAGGAAAUUGCCUUGAUGUGGGGGAUAACCAUUGGAAACGAUGGCUAAUACCGCAUAAUGCCUACGGGCCAAAGAGGGGGACCUUCGGGCCUCUCGCGUCAAGAUAUGCCUAGGUGGGAUUAGCUAGUUGGUGAGGUAAUGGCUCACCAAGGCGACGAUCCCUAGCUGGUCUGAGAGGAUGAUCAGCCACACUGGAACUGAGACACGGUCCAGACUCCUACGGGAGGCAGCAGUGGGGAAUAUUGCACAAUGGGCGAAAGCCUGAUGCAGCCAUGCCGCGUGUAUGAAGAAGGCCUUCGGGUUGUAAAGUACUUUCAGUUGUGAGGAAGGGGGUAGYGUUAAUAGCGCUAUCUCUUGACGUUAGCAACAGAAGAAGCACCGGCUAACUCCGUGCCAGCAGCCGCGGUAAUACGGAGGGUGCGAGCGUUAAUCGGAAUUACUGGGCGUAAAGCGCAUGCAGGUGGUUCAUUAAGUCAGAUGUGAAAGCCCGGGGCUCAACCUCGGAACUGCAUUUGAAACUGGUGAACUAGAGUACUGUAGAGGGGGGUAGAAUUUCAGGUGUAGCGGUGAAAUGCGUAGAGAUCUGAAGGAAUACCAGUGGCGAAGGCGGCCCCCUGGACA